RNAcentral lists this ribosomal RNA (520 nucleotides) under uncultured Glomus. Its description in RNAcentral is "SSU rRNA". It matches the Rfam family "Eukaryotic small subunit ribosomal RNA", at positions 569 to 1091 of the family's 1831-position model. The record is from RNAcentral. Lineage: Eukaryota; Fungi; Glomeromycota; Glomeromycetes; Glomerales; Glomeraceae.
AGCAGCCGCGGUAAUUCCAGCUCCAAUAGCGUAUAUUAAAGUUGUUGCAGUUAAAAAGCUCGUAGUUGAAUUUCGGGAUCAAUCUGCCGGUCGUGCCUCCGGUAUGCACUGGUUUUAUUGGUUUCUCCCUUCUGACGAAUCAUGAUGUCACUAAUUUGGUGUCAUGGGGAAUCAGGACUGUUACUUUGAAAAAAUUAGAGUGUUUAAAGCAGGCUCACGCUUGAAUACAUUAGCAUGGAAUAAUGAAAUAGGACGUUUGACCCUAUUUUGUUGGUUUCUAGGAUCGACGUAAUGAUUAAUAGGGAUAGUUGGGGGCAUUAGUAUUCAAUUGUCAGAGGUGAAAUUCUUGGAUUAUUGAAGACUAACUACUGCGAAAGCAUUUGCCAAGGAUGUUUUCAUUAAUCAAAGAACGAAAGUUAGGGGAUCGAAGACGAUCAGAUACCGUCGUAGUCUUAACCAUAAACUAUGCCGACUAGGGAUCGGAUGAUGUUAUUUUUUAAUGACUCAUUCGGCACCUUAC